AUGGGGGCGGGGAGGGCCAGGGCGAUCGCUGCGCUCACCCGCCGCCGGCCCCGGAAAGCCCCUUCCUGCGCCCGACAAGCUGCGGUCCUCCCCCCGCCCCGCACCGCCCGUAGCGACUGUCCCCAAGCGGAGGGGCGUCUCCCACCGCGCCCGCGCCCCUCCCGGCUGCUGCGGCGAGUGUCCGCUCCCUCCCGCCCCGGGGCCCGCCGGGCCCGGCCGGUACCUGGUCGGGGGCGCGCCGGGAGCCGCUGCAGCGCCCAGCGCCGGCUCCAUCCUCGGGUCUGGAGUCAGGCUCGCCGGAGGCCGGCAGGCGGCGGCGGCGGCGGCGGCGGCAUCCUCUGCCUCCCGCGCCCUCCUCCUCGGCCUCCCUCCUCCUGCCUCUUCCACCGCCUCCGCGCGCCCCUCACGGGCCCCUCUUCAUGGCCCGGGGGCGCGAGCCCAGGACCGCUCGGCCAGCUGAGAGCGUUCUCCGGGUCGGGGUACGGGAUCGGAGACCGGAGCGCGAGAGCCCCGGGGGCGCCGGGCCGGGGGCCGGGGGCUGGGACCGAGAGCGCGGCAGCCUGGGGCGCCGGAGCCUCGCCGAGCGCCAGCCGCCCUGCGUCCCGAGCCCUGGGCAGCAGCGGCGGCGGCUACGGCGCUGAGCGAGCGGCGGGCGCUGCGGUCCGGGCUCCACCCCCCCAAAGCCGCCCGCCCCUCAGCUGCCGCCCGCCCCCUGCUCUUCCCCACCCCGCCAGCGCGCGCCCUCCCGCUCCCCGCGCCGCCCUGCCGGCUCAGGCUCCCCGCGCUGCUCCAGCCACCAGCCCUCGGGACACCCCCGUUCGCAGGCCGGUUCCUGUGCCAACCCAUCCAAACCCGGGGGGAGCCACACCCACAACCCGGGUUUUGGAAGCCCAGCGAGCGAAGGCGCAGGCUACCCAUUGGCACCACUUUCUGUACACACCCCUACCCCGCCCCCGGUGUGUGUGGGGCGGGGGUGGAGAGCGCUCACGGACGGCCUUCCGCCUGAAUGCCCCUCCACCUUCAGAAGUUCGCCUGCAGCCCCCAGCCGAGCUCGGGGACCCCAGAACCCACAACAGGAGCCUUUUUGUAUCUUUUGGUACCAAUAGCCCAGCACAGACCCCUAGGUCACGCCCCUCCACCCCCUUUAUUUCUCAGAUGUGGAAAUGA
Molecule: long non-coding RNA, 1167 nt
Filed under: Bos indicus x Bos taurus (hybrid cattle)
Lineage: Eukaryota; Metazoa; Chordata; Mammalia; Artiodactyla; Bovidae
Description: lncRNA (ENSBIXG00000003094.1)
Source: RNAcentral